GCGGACGUGGUGCACGGUGCACCACUGCCUUCAAUUAUCGUCCAACCUGUUGGAAGCAGUUGAAGGGGUUCGACUCUCCGCGUCCGCA
Non-coding RNA from Mycena latifolia, 88 nucleotides. The record is from the annotation of a GenBank genome assembly. Lineage: Eukaryota; Fungi; Basidiomycota; Agaricomycetes; Agaricales; Mycenaceae.